This 497-nucleotide ribosomal RNA is filed under the name uncultured bacterium. RNAcentral describes it as "partial 16S ribosomal RNA". It matches the Rfam family "Bacterial small subunit ribosomal RNA", at positions 28 to 507 of the family's 1533-position model. The record is from RNAcentral.
GAUGAACGCUCGCGGCGUGCCUAAUACAUGCAAGUCGAGCGAACAGACGAGGAGCUUGCUCCUUCGACGUUAGCGGCGGACGGGUGAGUAACACGUAGGUAACCUACCUAUAAGACUGGGAUAACUUCGGGAAACCGGAGCUAAUACCGGAUAAUAUUUCGAACCGCAUGGUUCGAUAGUGAAAGAUGGCUUUGCUAUCACUUAUAGAUGGACCUGCGCCGUAUUAGCUAGUUGGUAAGGUAACGGCUUACCAAGGCAACGAUACGUAGCCGACCUGAGAGGGUGAUCGGCCACACUGGAACUGAGACACGGUCCAGACUCCUACGGGAGGCAGCAGUAGGGAAUCUUCCGCAAUGGGCGAAAGCCUGACGGAGCAACGCCGCGUGAGUGAUGAAGGUCUUCGGAUCGUAAAACUCUGUUAUUAGGGAAGAACAAACGUGUAAGUAACUGUGCACGUCUUGACGGUACCUAAUCAGAAAGCCACGGCUAACUACGUG